ACCCUAUGAAUUUAUGAAUUUAAAUAAUAUAUUUUCAUAUUAAUUAAAUUUUGGCUGGGGCGGCUGAGAAAUAUUAAAAACUUUUUGUUUUAACAUGACCCAUUAUUAAUGAUUAAAUGAAAAAAUA
RNAcentral lists this ribosomal RNA (127 nucleotides) under Rhipicephalus evertsi evertsi. RNAcentral's name for it is "partial large subunit ribosomal RNA". Lineage: Eukaryota; Metazoa; Arthropoda; Arachnida; Ixodida; Ixodidae. The record is from RNAcentral.